This 187-nucleotide ribosomal RNA is filed under the name uncultured bacterium. RNAcentral's name for it is "partial 16S ribosomal RNA". It matches the Rfam family "Bacterial small subunit ribosomal RNA", at positions 1314 to 1500 of the family's 1533-position model. The record is from RNAcentral.
GACUACAUGAAGCUGGAAUCGCUAGUAAUCGCGGAUCAGAAUGCCGCGGUGAAUACGUUCCCGGGUCUCGUACACACCGCCCGUCACACCAUGGGAGUCGGAAAUGCCCGAAGUCGGUGACCUAACUGAAAGGAAGGAGCCGCCGAAGGCAGGUCUGGUGACUGGGGUGAAGUCGUAACAAGGUAGC